UACGUAUGGUGCAAGCGUUAUCCGGAAUGACUGGGUGUAAAGGGAGCGUAGACGGUUGUACAAGUCUGAUGUGAAAGCCCACGGCUCAACUGUGGAGUGCAUUGGAAACUGUAGAACUAGAGUAUCGGAGAGGCAAGUGGAAUUCCUAGUGUAGCGGUGAAAUGCGUAGAUAUUAGGAGGAACACCAGUGGCGAAGGCGGCUUGCUGGACGAAAACUGACGUUGAGGCUCGAAAGCGUGGGGAGCAAACAGG
This 252-nucleotide ribosomal RNA is filed under the name uncultured bacterium. RNAcentral's name for it is "partial 16S ribosomal RNA". It matches the Rfam family "Bacterial small subunit ribosomal RNA", at positions 524 to 776 of the family's 1533-position model. The record is from RNAcentral.